RNAcentral lists this long non-coding RNA (248 nucleotides) under Papio anubis (olive baboon). Its description in RNAcentral is "lncRNA (ENSPANG00000042875.1)". The record is from RNAcentral. Lineage: Eukaryota; Metazoa; Chordata; Mammalia; Primates; Cercopithecidae.
ACCUAGAGCCAGGAAAAUACAUUAUCAAUCUGUGCUGAAAUCACAGGAUGAAUCACGAAGAAAACAUGUAUAAGGAAGAGACUGCAGCUUUCUAGAAGACCUAAAUUAACUGAGACAAGGCCACAAGUGCCAGCAGCUGCAGAGAUGGUUUCCUGUUUAGCCAGUAAGUAAUCUAGAGCAAUUCUAUUUUUUAGCAUAAUUUUCACAAGAUAAUUUAAAGUCUGUUAUGUAACCAUAACCUUUAGUAG